Molecule: long non-coding RNA, 1907 nt
Filed under: Mytilus galloprovincialis (Mediterranean mussel)
Lineage: Eukaryota; Metazoa; Mollusca; Bivalvia; Mytilida; Mytilidae
Source: RNAcentral
AAAAUUUCAACAUGCGGCCUACACAGCUAGCUCAUGUGGAGAAGAGAUAUGAGACUGAUUGCGAAUAAAUGUACACUUAGUUUAGUGCAUCAUGGAUCUACAAAGUGAAACAUAUGUACCAAAAAUAUUAGUUUAUUCAUAACUAAGCCUUUUUCAGCACUGCAGUCAACAGAACAAUGAUAGUGACAAGAAUUGAGACUAUUUAAUACCUCAAACAAUGGGAAAAUACUUCUUGAGAUCAGUUGUAAGUGGUUUUAUAUCAUGCAUGAAACAAUAAACUUAAGUAGUUUUAAAAACUGUUGGAUAAUUCAUACACUGUACCAGACAACUCACACAAUAAAAUUUAUUAAAUAUGAACACAAUCAUUUUUUUCUAAUUUUUUUGCAUUCAAAGCAGUUUGACGGCAAAAGACGCAAAUAAUGCUUUAAUAAAUUUGGUCUUACAAAGCCUAUUAAUGUUUUCUUUUGUGCUGUAACCAUAUAAAAUGCAUGUAUUUUUAAUGGUAAAGGACUAUAGAACUCAAUCAGACUAAAAAAAUGGAAUUAUAUUGUUUUCAAUGAGUGGUUAAAGGUGGCAGGUACCAGUUUUGGUGUACCAGAACAUGUGUCCCACGCAGAAAUUUUGUUAUAGUUAAGUAUUGAGGUAUAUAAUUGCAUCAUGUGGACUGAAAAAAUAAAUGAAUGUAAAUUCUAGGCUAUUGUACUACACAAGUAAGUAGUUGCAUACACAGGUUGGGGAUUUCCUUCACAUAUAGGUCCAAUCAGAUGUCAAAAUUGUGGUCUCCUCACUUGACGGCAUCCAAUCAAAGUGGGGGAAAAAAUUCAGUUUUAUGUAAACAAAAAUAUCUUGAGAUUUUGAUGGUAAGGAUAGGUUCGGACAAGGCUCUAAUUCACUGAAUAUCCUUUCUCUCUUGAAUUUUGGCUAAAAUUCUUGUCGGCUUUUAGCAGGAUUUUGCAGGUGAGGAUUAGAUUGGUAUCAGAGCAUCACAUUUUUUGCCUUAUUUGCAAUGCAUUUAUAAAUUUUUAAAUUUCCAUGCUGGACAGACACCCAAAUUUAAAGGUUUUCUAUAUAUUAACAUAAGCACGCACACAUCUUAGUUCCUUGAAACCAUACAUUUUAUUUGUAUAUAAGCUUGAAUGAAUUUUCAAGAAAAUAAAAUCAUAAAUCCAUGAAAUUCUAAAGAUUUAUUGUAAAAUAACUGGUUUCUGCCACCUUAAGCCUAAACAUGAUUUUAACAUAUCACAAAAUGUGCCUUUUUAAGAGUUCUACAGGUGUGUGGUAAUAUAUUUCUUUUAUUCACAGUCAAUGUAUAGGUCUGUUUGCAAGCAAAUAGUUUUUACAUGGAUUUUAAGAAUUAUCAAAUAUCAAGACAGAUAACUCUGUAUCCCAAUACAAACAAUGACAUUCAAUUGAUUAGUUUUAAAAUGAUUAUGUUCACCAAACAAUGAUUUUAUAUCAUAAAUUAUAUAGAAAUAGCAAUUACAAAGAGAGAAAAAAGUAAAAUAAGCCUCAGCAUAGUACAAGAAAAAGCUGAUUAUACUGUAUAUUACCUGUUAUAAUGAUUUAUUUCAUAUGAUAUGGACAUUUUCUUAUUUAUUUACUUUUUAACUAUGAAUAUAUGAAUUCUUCUUUUUUUAUAGGUCUACUACAUAGUUGAUACUGUAGGACAGGCUAUAGAAAUAAGAAAACUGGUCUCUCUCAUCAGCAAUAGUGUGGCAAUUCUAAAAUUUCAACAUGCGGCCUACACAGCUAGCUCAUGUGGAGAAGAGAUAUGAGACUGAUUGCGAAUAAAUGUACACUUAGUUUAGGGCAUCAUGGAUCUACAAAGUGAAACAUAUGUACCAAAAAUAUUAGUUUAUUCAUAACUAAGCCUUUUUCAGCACUGCAGUCAACAGAACAAUGAUAGU